Molecule: ribosomal RNA, 408 nt
Filed under: uncultured bacterium
Lineage: Bacteria
Description: bacterial SSU rRNA
Rfam family: Bacterial small subunit ribosomal RNA
Source: RNAcentral
GAAUCAACGCUGGCGGCGUGCCUAACACAUGCAAGUCGAACGCGAAAGCCCGCAAGGGUAAGUAGAGUGGCGCACGGGUGAGUAACACGUGGACAACCUGCCUUCGAGUGGGAAUAACCUUCCGGAAAGGGGGGCUAAUACCGCAAUAAAACCUCGGAACACAAGUUCUGGGGUUGAAAAGAGCAAUUUGCUCGAAGGAGGGGUCCGCGCCUGAUUAGCUAGUUGGUGAGGUAACGGCUCACCAAGGCUUCGAUCAGUAGCCGUCCUGAGAGGGAGCACGGCCACACUGGAACUGAGACACGGUCCAGACUCCUACGGGAGGCAGCAGUGGGGAAUUUUUGGCAAUGGGACGAAAGCCUGACCAAGCAACGCCGCGUGGGUGAUGAAGUAUCUUGGUACGUAAAACCC